Molecule: long non-coding RNA, 445 nt
Organism: Artibeus jamaicensis (Jamaican fruit-eating bat)
Lineage: Eukaryota; Metazoa; Chordata; Mammalia; Chiroptera; Phyllostomidae
Exons: 3
Source: RefSeq, a predicted model, not a curated record
UCGCUGAACUUUUUCUUUUAAGAACGGGCGGAUGUCAGUGACAAGUUAAUAGCUCUCGCUGCGCUCCAAGGUUAAACAGAACCUCAUUUGUGCCCGGAGUCUCCUUCUACCGACCAGCCGGAGGCCGCCUGGGCAGGCUCUAAUCCUCGGAUUGGAACUAGUACUUCUGCCUGGAAGAUUUCGCUGGCUUUGCUAGUCCUCUCAGCCGUCCCGAAAAGCCAAUCCGUUCUGAGCUACACUGAUGGCGGGGCUGGAGGAGGAGGGCUACUUUCAACUUCUGGCACCACCUGGGUGGUCGCCAUAAAAAGAAUACUUUCCACAAUAUCCCCAAUAGAUCAUCACUUCUAACCGCAGAGAAUUUGCUAGCCCAGAGGACAACCCAUUCCUUAUUUAAAUGGUUCUGGAUUUUGAAAGUCUUUUCUCAUAUUAAACCCCAAAUCCGUUU